CGCCGGAGCCGAGAGCCCGCCGCCGCCAUGUCCCACCAGACCAGCAUCCAAGCAAGUGAAGAAGUUAAAGAUAUCUUUGCCAGAGCCAGAAAUGGAAAGUACAGACUCUGAAAAUAUCUAUGGAAAAUGAGCAACUUGUGAUUGGAUUGCGGAGUCAGCCUUCAGGUUCCUGGGAUAAGGAUUAUGAUUCCUUCAUUUCACCUCUGUUGGAAGACAAACAGCCAUGUUAUAUAUUAUUCAGGUUAGAUUCUCAGAAUGCCCAGGGUUAUGAAUGGAUAGUCAUUUUGUGGUCUCCAGAUCAUUCUCAUAUUCGUCAAAAAAUGUAUGCAGCCACAAGAGCAACUCUGAAAAAGGAGUUUGGAGGGGGCCACAAUAAAGAUGAAUUAUUUGGAUCAGUAAAGGAAGAUGUAUCAUUACAUGGAUAUAAAAAAUAUUUGCUGUCACAGUCUUCCCCUGCCCCAUUGACUGCAGCUGAAGAAGAAUUACGACAGAUUAAAAUUAAUGAGGUACAAACUGACGUAAGUGUGGACACUAAGCAUCAGACACUCCAAGGGUAGCAUUUCCUAUUUCUCGAGACGCUUUUCAGGCUUUGGAAAAAUUGAAUAACAGACAGCUCAACUAUGUGCAAUUGGAAAUAGAUAUAAAAAAUGAAGUUAUAAUUUUGGUCAACACAACAAACACAGAACUAAAAGAUUUGCCAAAGAGGAUUCCCAAGGAUUCAGCACGUUACCAUUUUUUUCUGUAUAAACAUUCCCAUGAAGGAGACUAUUUAGACUCCACAUGCAGUUCAGAGAACGGAUGUUGUAUUCUAGCUGCAAGAGCCCUCUUCUAGAAAUCGUAGAAAGGCAACUACAAAUGGAUGUAAUCAGAAAGAUUGCGAUAGACAACGGGGAUGAAUUGACUGCAGACUUCCUUUAUGAAGAAGUGCAUCCCAAGCAACAUGCGCAAAAGCAAAGUUUUGCAAAACCAAAAGGUCCUGCAGGAAAAAGAGGAAUUCAGAGACUAAUUAGGGGUCCAGCUGAAACUGAAGCCACUACUGAUUAAAAUCUAUACAUUAAACAUUGCAAUACUAGUUUUUUUAAAGUUCAGCUUUUAGUACAGGAGAACUGAAAUCAUUCCAUGUUGAUAAAUAGUAGGGAAA
RNA transcript from Nycticebus coucang (slow loris), 1141 nucleotides. It is a transcript of the gene named twinfilin-1-like, with no coding region annotated. The record is from RefSeq and is a predicted model, not a curated record. NCBI's taxonomy places the organism in Eukaryota, Metazoa, Chordata, Mammalia, Primates, Lorisidae. The transcript has a single exon.